RNAcentral lists this ribosomal RNA (314 nucleotides) under uncultured bacterium. Its description in RNAcentral is "bacterial SSU rRNA". It matches the Rfam family "Bacterial small subunit ribosomal RNA", at positions 28 to 334 of the family's 1533-position model. The record is from RNAcentral.
GAUGAACGCUAGCUACAGGCUUAACACAUGCAAGUCGAGGGGCAGCAUGAACUUAGCUUGCUAAGUUUGAUGGCGACCGGCGCACGGGUGAGUAACACGUAUCCAACCUGCCGAUGACUCGGGGAUAGCCUUUCGAAAGAAAGAUUAAUACCCGAUGGCAUAGUUCUACCGCAUGGUCUUAUUAUUAAAGAAUUUCGGUUAUCGAUGGGGAUGCGUUCCAUUAGGCAGUUGGUGAGGUAACGGCUCACCAAACCUUCGAUGGAUAGGGGUUCUGAGAGGAAGGUCCCCCACAUUGGAACUGAGACACGGUCCAA